AUGUGCAGGCUGUGUGCAGAAGGAGGGGAUGAUACACAGGGUGAUGUUGAGCUCCAGCCCCUCAGAGACCCUUACCCAUCCCGGGGGACACUGGAUCCCAGGUCCGACCUGGACUUUUUCUUUUCUUUCAGCCUCUUGAGCAACCCCUGGAGGAAGGUGGUAUCAGCUGGGCAGAACUCUGGGCUCCCUCCUCAGCUCCCACCCACAGGAGAAGGCUCUGCUGGUCUCGAGGGACCAAAACCAAGAUCGGGCUGCAUUAGCAUCAUUAAUAAGGACAAGCAGUUUCUCCGUGGCUGCCUCACCCGAACAUUGUGGACCUGGCUGGAGCCAGCAGCCUCUGGCUCCGUCUUUCCGGAGAUCCGAUCUGUGGGUGGUCAGAGGUGGGAGGUGCACCAUCCAGUGACCAUGUCAUACUGUUCCCUCUUGAGUCUCUGCCACGCCCACCUGCCACAGGCCCAGUACUGUGUUUACCACUCUGCAACAUGCUUUACUCCCCCAAAGCCAUUCAAAGGGCUGUAGUAACUGAGACCCAGACAGGUCGAGUCACUUGCUUGGAGCCACACAGGUAAUGAACGGAGUUGGGCUUCACACACAAGCAUUUUCCUCUUAACCAAGACAUUGGGGUAAGUCUGGGAUGCUAAAAAGACAGGACAGAUAUCUGAGUGUGGUGGUGAAUGUCUGUAAUCCCAGCACUAGGAGACUGAGGCAUGAGGAAUACCAGAAAUUCAAGGCUAGCUUGCGCUACAUAUUGAGAACUUGUCUCAAAACAAACAAACAAAAAACCAACAACAGCAAACAGGGCAGCCCAGGGAGAUUGAGGCAGGAGGACUGUAAGGUCAAGCCCAGCCCGGACAACUUAUCAAGACUCUAUCUCAAAAAAAAAAAAAAAAAGGCCGAGGAUGUAGCUCCGUGCAAAGACCUGGGUUCAAUCCCCAGUGCAAACAAAAAUAAAAAUGAACAAAAACAAGGAUAAGAGCCUUGGUUCCUUACCUAAGCAACUACAUCUAAAGGUGGAAAGUAUUCAAAGUUUAAGGGACAGAAAAAACUCAGGAUAGGCAGCAGUCUCUUUUUGAGUCAAGGAAGACUUCCAUAGGGAUUUGCCCAAGGUGUUAAACAGGAGGUUGGAUUUUGACACACAGAGAAAGCCGUGCAUAGUGGCACGACUGUCAUCUCUGUACUGGGGAGGCUGAGGCAGGAGGAUCUCCACAAGUUCGAGGCCAGCCUGGUAAGGGAUGGGCAAAGCCCAGCAAAAUAAAAGGAAGGACAAGAGGGAUGCUUGGGUCCAGAGGCUAGAAGGGAAGGCCCAGGAAAUAGAUUGGUACAUGUUUGGGGCACUAAUUGGAGGGCUUUUAUCAUGGGCGUGAUAGAAGCCAUGGGAGGGGUUAAGCAGGUGAGGAGCAGCACCGCUUACUAGAGAGCUGUCUUUGGAUCUGAUGCAGUGGGCAAGCACUGAUGCCCUGGAUGGGGUUAAAGGUUUGCCUCUGCCGGAUAUGAGAGUUGAGAAUUAGGUGAGCUCCCAGAAAAUAGGCCUUAUCAACCUUCCCACAUGAACAGUGUGUUCCCUUAUUUCACCACUAGGGGCAGCAAAGGGUAACUCCUUGUGGGUCCCUUGGACACGCCAGGUUUCGGGCUGGUGAGGUGCUAUGCACUUUGCUGAGUUUCAAUUCUUGUGACAUCCAUUACCUUUUUAGGUCCCUCUUGGGACCCUUGGCACCCCAUCUGUCCUUUUAUUUCUUUUCUUCUCUUUCUUUUUGUUGUUGUUUUGUUUUUUGAGACAGGGUCUCACUAUGUAGUUCAGGCUAGCCCUGAAGUCACUAUGUAGCACAGGCUGGCCUCAAACUUGUGGUGAUCCUCCUGCCUCAGCCUCCCCAGUGCUGGGAUUCCAGAUGUGCGCCAUCACACCCGGCCUUCUUCUGUCAUUUUCUGUUGACUUUUUAAAACUGUUACCCUCCCUCCCGUGAUCGCAAAAGUUCAGGGAAAAUCACCUGACUUGGUCACCACCACGUCUUCUGUCUCAGUCAGGGACUGACACACAUUAACUGUGUGACAACCCCCUGCGUGACUGACUGAGCAUGAAUUCGUAAAAUGAUAUGCUUUUCAAGGUAGAGAUCAAUAAUACCGUUGAGCUGAUGGGGAAACCCAGUGUGGUAGCACAUAUCUGCCAUCGCAGCACUUGAGUGUCUGAGACAGGAGGAUGGCUGUGAGUUCAAGGUCUGCCUGGGCUGCACAGCGAGACCCCGUCUCAAACGAGCCAAACCCAAACCAAACCAAAGCAAAAAAAACACGGGGAAGUGGAGCUCAGGGAGGUGACGAGACUAAGACACAUGAGAGACCAGUUAGGGCCAAGAGCCUUUGGCGUCUGGACGCUACCAUAGACCACAGUGCUUUUGUGAGUCCCUGUCCCUUCCGCAGACUUCCGGGAGGUCCCUGGCGACCCCGCCCCCACCCCUCUUUGGGUGAAAGAAGGAAGACGCUGCCGCCCCC
Long non-coding RNA from Fukomys damarensis (Damara mole-rat), 2484 nucleotides. The record is from Ensembl. Lineage: Eukaryota; Metazoa; Chordata; Mammalia; Rodentia; Bathyergidae.